This 808-nucleotide ribosomal RNA is filed under the name Escherichia coli. Its description in RNAcentral is "partial 23S ribosomal RNA". It matches the Rfam family "Bacterial large subunit ribosomal RNA", at positions 2114 to 2916 of the family's 2925-position model. The record is from RNAcentral. Lineage: Bacteria; Pseudomonadati; Pseudomonadota; Gammaproteobacteria; Enterobacterales; Enterobacteriaceae.
ACACUGAACAUUGAGCCUUGAUGUGUAGGAUAGGUGGGAGGCUUUGAAGUGUGGACGCCAGUCUGCAUGGAGCCGACCUUGAAAUACCACCCUUUAAUGUUUGAUGUUCUAACGUUGACCCGUGAUCCGGGUUGCGGACAGUGUCUGGUGGGUAGUUUGACUGGGGCGGUCUCCUCCUAAAGAGUAACGGAGGAGCACGAAGGUUGGCUAAUCCUGGUCGGACAUCAGGAGGUUAGUGCAAUGGCAUAAGCCAGCUUGACUGCGAGCGUGACGGCGCGAGCAGGUGCGAAAGCAGGUCAUAGUGAUCCGGUGGUUCUGAAUGGAAGGGCCAUCGCUCAACGGAUAAAAGGUACUCCGGGGAUAACAGGCUGAUACCGCCCAAGAGUUCAUAUCGACGGCGGUGUUUGGCACCUCGAUGUCGGCUCAUCACAUCCUGGGGCUGAAGUAGGUCCCAAGGGUAUGGCUGUUCGCCAUUUAAAGUGGUACGCGAGCUGGGUUUAGAACGUCGUGAGACAGUUCGGUCCCUAUCUGCCGUGGGCGCUGGAGAACUGAGGGGGGCUGCUCCUAGUACGAGAGGACCGGAGUGGACGCAUCACUGGUGUUCGGGUUGUCAUGCCAAUGGCACUGCCCGGUAGCUAAAUGCGGAAGAGAUAAGUGCUGAAAGCAUCUAAGCACGAAACUUGCCCCGAGAUGAGUUCUCCCUGACUCCUUGAGAGUCCUGAAGGAACGUUGAAGACGACGACGUUGAUAGGCCGGGUGUGUAAGCGCAGCGAUGCGUUGAGCUAACCGGUACUAAUGAACCGUGAGG